Molecule: ribosomal RNA, 195 nt
Filed under: uncultured bacterium
Lineage: Bacteria
Also listed under: 1 other name
Description: partial 16S ribosomal RNA
Rfam family: Bacterial small subunit ribosomal RNA
Source: RNAcentral
CCUACGGGAGGCAGCAGUAGGGAAUCUUCGGCAAUGGGGGCAACCCUGACCGAGCAACGCCGCGUGAGUGAAGAAGGUUUUCGGAUCGUAAAGCUCUGUUGUAAGAGAAGAACGUGUGUGAGAGUGGAAAGUUCACACAGUGACGGUAACUUACCAGAAAGGGACGGCUAACUACGUGCCAGCAGCCGCGGUAAU